Molecule: ribosomal RNA, 124 nt
Filed under: Pseudogymnoascus sp. 23342-1-I1
Lineage: Eukaryota; Fungi; Ascomycota; Leotiomycetes; Thelebolales; Thelebolaceae
Source: RNAcentral
ACAUACGCCCAUAGACUCAAGGGAAUUGGGCAUCCGGUCCGCUCUGCCGUACACAAGCUUGAGAUCGGUGGAUUAGUAGUUGGGUGGGUGAGUGACCACCAGCGAAUACCCACUGUUAUAUGUU